UAACACGUGGGUAACGCACCCCGAUGAUUGGGACAACCCGAGGAAACUCGAGCUAAUACCAAAUGUGCUUACAGAUCAUAAGGUCUGUACGGAAAGGAAGCUUCGGCCUCCGCAUCGGGACCGGCCCGCGGCCCAUUAGCUUGUUGGUGAGGUAACGGCUUACCAAGGCGACGAUGGGUAGCUGGUCUGAGAGGACGAUCAGCCACACUGGGACUGAGACACGGCCCAG
RNAcentral lists this ribosomal RNA (229 nucleotides) under uncultured bacterium. RNAcentral's name for it is "partial 16S ribosomal RNA". It matches the Rfam family "Bacterial small subunit ribosomal RNA", at positions 111 to 334 of the family's 1533-position model. The record is from RNAcentral.